GAAGUGGAAAAAUUGAAUUUUAUCAGCUGAGGCAGCAACAAAUAAAGCCUCACCGGCCGAUAACAUAGAUUUACAUGCUACUUCGAGUUCAAUUACGACUUCCACAACAACAUCAUCAGCAACAACAACUUCAAGUAUCAUACCAGGACAGAGUUCACAUACCAGCAAUAACAUGGCAUUGAAUUCAACUUCGAUCUCCACCGCGACCUCCACAACAACACCACCAACAACUGCAACUUCGACAUCAAAGAGCGGAGCAGAGAAGUGCGUCACAGGAACCAAAAUGCUUUUAAUAA
Molecule: non-coding RNA, 296 nt
Organism: Styela clava
Lineage: Eukaryota; Metazoa; Chordata; Ascidiacea; Stolidobranchia; Styelidae
Source: RefSeq, a predicted model, not a curated record